GGGGAUAUGGUUUAGUGGUAUAAUGCUUCCUUAGCAACAUCAGGUUGCCUUAAUUGGAAGAGGUCCCGAGUUCGAUUCUUGGUGUCUCCA
This 90-nucleotide transfer RNA is filed under the name Pyricularia grisea. RNAcentral describes it as "Magnaporthe grisea tRNA". It matches the Rfam family "tRNA". From Rfam's summary of the family: Transfer RNA (tRNA) molecules are approximately 80 nucleotides in length. Their secondary structure includes four short double-helical elements and three loops (D, anti-codon, and T loops). The record is from Rfam by way of RNAcentral. Lineage: Eukaryota; Fungi; Ascomycota; Sordariomycetes; Magnaporthales; Pyriculariaceae.